ACAAGCGAAAUGCUCUCUCUUCCCUCGAGGCUUCAACAUCAUCAGGAGUAUCUUGGACGACAGGAGCCACCUUGUUCGAUGAUAGACCAUUUCUGCACAGUUUCUUGCAUUGCAUACAACCCUAAGCGGCAAAACAGAUUUAUCAGAAGAGAGGACAAGGAGAGAUCAUUACCUUUGCUGGAAUAUUUGUGCGACAAAUGCCAAGAUCUGUAGUUUCUAUCAUGGUUGUUGAGCUAUGCUCCGGAGCAAGGGCGCUGAGAAGGUGACUGGAGGUUACCAAAAUCUCCUACCCAACAUCCUGUGUCACUCCCGAUGAAAACCCUUCUCCAUCUUGGAGUCGACAAUGGUGACGUGUAUCAUCGUUUCCCCUCCUGACAGAGCUGUCGUGGAACUUAGGUGUCCUAGGGUGUGUCAUGGCAUUGUAUUCAGGCCUACCUGUAUUAUCUUUCGGUAACGUAGUCGCGUGCGUUUAGGUUGUAUGGUUAUCCUGGGAUAUGCUAUGUAAGAGGGCUCUCUCACUACCUUGUAUUGUUGGCCGUGUACUUUGGUUUGUGCUUUAUCUAUAAAGUGGAUCUAGUUCAAACUUAAA
Molecule: long non-coding RNA, 589 nt
Organism: Hordeum vulgare subsp. vulgare (domesticated barley)
Lineage: Eukaryota; Viridiplantae; Streptophyta; Magnoliopsida; Poales; Poaceae
Exons: 4
Source: RefSeq, a predicted model, not a curated record